This is a long non-coding RNA of Cyprinus carpio (common carp), 1159 nucleotides long. The record is from Ensembl. Lineage: Eukaryota; Metazoa; Chordata; Actinopteri; Cypriniformes; Cyprinidae.
UUUUAUUUAUUUUUUUUAUUUUUUAUUUUUUUCACAAAACCUGUCACAAAUUAGAAAUCAAAGGCCAUUUUCUACCUUGCUUACAUCUUUGCAUAUAAAGUGUGAAACUCUUUUGAAAACUUUGAUUAACUAAUCACAAAGUGUUUUAGCAUUAUAUUUAGAUCUAGACUGAUUGUUGCAGAAAUUAUCUCAUUGCAACUUGAUUUGAGUGCACACACACACACACAGGAUGUAAAUAAGAGAUUCAUUAAGGAGUGCAGACAGUGUGCUGUUUGAUUGACAGCUCAAUUAUAAAGGGAGUGUUUUUGCAUGAUUUCUAUAUAUAAUUUGAACAAAAUAUAAAUUACAAAUUAUUUCCAUUCUACAAAGACUAAACAAAGCAUGCAAACAGUUUUGUGCUGAUGUAUUCGUCUCUAUUACAUAUUAAAAACCUGGAAGCUUUGAGUUCGGAAACUCACAGUGUGUUUAUAUAUUAGCUUACAAAGGCCAGAUAAGGUAAAAUUUUAAUUCAUGACCCCUUUAAAAUGAAAAUGCAAUCAUUACUAUUCUUGUUUUUGUUGCAUCUGAUCAUCAUCAGCUAAUUUAAUACGUUGCAGGUGGAUCUCCCAUUAACGAUGAAGUGAAGGUUGUUCAUGUUGAAGACAGUGGGAUUUCAUUUGAGAAAUGCACGUUAACUAGAUUCCACGCCAAACUUCUGAACCAAUCCUUCUCCCCGAAAGGUCUUCUUUUGAGGAAUGGCUUCUCUGUGUAUUACCACUGCGAAACACUUAUCUAUGAAACUCAGAAAUCAUACCUGACGCUUCAUGUGUACUUGAUUCCAAGUGAGAAAAAAAUGAUAGAGGCUGCUGAAAACAAUGAGAAUAAAAUCAAGUCAAAGCUCAUCUCAAAGCCAGGGCCUGUAUCCUCGCUUCAGACGAAGACUUGUUAUUCACUGAGGACACUGGAUGAGAAUAAGAAGUCUGAGUGCCGUUCUGAAGUUCAACCCAAGCAGUUAGAGCUCAAGUACAAGCCCAUAAAUCCAGACUUCUUUGAAGUAUUCAUUGCUGCUCCAACGGAUUUUCACCUUCAGCUGAUACAACGACAUCGCAGUGAAGGUGUAUGGGAAGCCAAAAUACGUGACGGUGAUUACACCCAGAGAGUUUCUUCAGAGGGUAAGUGA